RNAcentral lists this ribosomal RNA (498 nucleotides) under uncultured bacterium. Its description in RNAcentral is "bacterial SSU rRNA". It matches the Rfam family "Bacterial small subunit ribosomal RNA", at positions 28 to 507 of the family's 1533-position model. The record is from RNAcentral.
GACGAACGCUGGCGGCGUGUCUUAGCCAUGCAAGUCGAGCGGACUUAUGGGGUAACUUAUAAGUCAGCGGCGGACGGCGGAGUAACACGUAGCUAACCUACCCUCUGGACGGGGAUAACCUACCGAAAGGUGGGCUAAUACCCGAUGUAGUCAUCCUGUAUAGGGGUGAUGAAAGGUGGGCUUCUGUUUACAAGCUCAUGCUGGAGGAGGGGGCUGCGGCCUAUCAGGUAGUUGGUAGGGUAAUAGCCUACCAAGCCGAUGACGGGUAGCCGGCCUGAGAGGGUGACCGGCCCGAGGGGCACUGAGAUACGGGUCCCACUCCUACGGGAGGCAGCAGGCUAGAAAUUUGGGCAAUGGGGGAAACCCUGACCCAGUGACGCCGCGUGCAGGAAGGAGCCCUUCGGGGUGUAAACUGCUGUCGUGUAGGGAGAAGGGUACUAAGGUGAACAAUCUUAGUACUUGACGGUACUACAGGAGGAAGCCCAGGCUAACCUCGUG